This is a long non-coding RNA of Rhododendron vialii, 4190 nucleotides long. RefSeq lists it as uncharacterized. The transcript has 2 exons. The record is from RefSeq and is a predicted model, not a curated record. NCBI's taxonomy places the organism in Eukaryota, Viridiplantae, Streptophyta, Magnoliopsida, Ericales, Ericaceae.
AUCAACCACAUAUACAAGUCAUACCUAAACCGAUCACAUGUUGCCUGCGGCAAAAUAUUUAAAUCAUUGUAAAGCCAGAAGUAUUACUUCGAAAUCAUACCCUAUCAUUCUUCGCCCAUGGUAGUGCUCUAUUGUUCUAUAGUGACUUGGGCAUGGAAUGAUGCCCUUAGGGCCAGUUUGUUCCAAGGGACUAGUAGCGAAUGGAUAUCCCAUAAGAUAUGUUAUCUCAACUGACAAAUGUGAUCAGAUUAAUAAUACCACACCCGGCAUGGUCUUUGUAUCCCACACUUUGCAAGUUUAUACAUCCGAUGGAUGUUUAGUCCAGGGCAAAAUCUUUUGAGGAACCCUGAAUGCAUAGUUGCUUUGGAUAUGGAGUUCAAUCCGAUGCCCAUAUCCGGUCAAACAAACAGCCCCUUAUUCUACUCUUGAAGAGUUGUGUUGAAGUGUCAUACAUGCUUCCUGAUCUCUGAUUUCUUAAUCAACGUGCUUAACGAUUUUUUUUUUUGUUUGCUAUGAAUUGAACCUUGAACGACAAUCUAUCUUGAUUGAUUAGGGUUAGGCACAACUAAUUAAGUAUCUCGUGAUUAAGUACAGGUAGGCAUGAUUAAGCAAGUGUCAUAAACUAUCCCCAGCUGUGGUUGAUUAAUCUUAACCACAGGCUAACUAUUGUUAAUCAAGGUAAUCAGAGUAAAUUGGUGAAGCUCCUCCGUGCCUCGUGACACCACCUAAAUGGCUAACAUGUUUAGAUGGCCAUUAGCUAUGGGUGUCUAUGAGUUAGGUUAGAUAGAGAUUUAUGUAGAUGCCCAUUAGCUAUGGUUUGUGUUCGAUAAAGAGUUAUAUAUAUAAUUUCCACAAAUAAAGAAAGGGUAUGACACAAACAAGUAGCUCACAUGAAAUCGGAAAUCUCAAGAAAAUAAGAGGGGGAAAAUGGUGAAAGGAAAUGGCGGAGAAAGAAGAGAAACUUCACAUAACAAUCACAGAGAGGGUGCCUUGCUAAUGAUAUGCAAGAUAUAAAGCAUCGUGUCGUGUUUCAUAUCUUACAGCAAAGCUUGGAUGUAUCAAUUCUCAAGCACAUCUCACUUCUUGAGAAUUCUAAACUUAAACCUAGAACUAGACUUCUAACAUUUCAUAACCUUGGUGCAAAUCGUCUAACCAUGAGCCACCUGAAAGUCUGAAACUAUCUAAUGCCAUUUUUGCGACCAUUUUGUGGUAAUUCCCCGUGACAAAUAGGAAUAUUGGAGCUUUAAUUGUCUAGUUUUUGGUCCACUUGGAGUUUGGAAUUGUCUAGGAGGUCUUAUUGCUGAAAUAGCAAUUAGGUGUCAUUGCUGGAAAAAACUACAGAAUGUGAAAAUGAGGUCAUUUUGUAGCUAAAAUCCGUUCACAAACAAGUUUUGACUGCAAUUGGUAGGGAUGUGCAAAAAAUCCGCCAACCCUCAAAACUGACCCAACCCGUGCCAAUCGGCGCCGAAAAUCAAUGGUUGAAAUUAUAAGCGGUUGGGUUGGAAGGGUGAAACACAAAUUUUCAAUGGGUUGGAUUGGCUGCAGGUAAAACAUCUCUAACCCGCCUUCUACCCGAUCCCACCUGCUAUAUUUACAUAGUCAACAACAAUCAAUAGAAUACAAUCAUGCCAAUGUUAAGAGCACAGCCUACCACAGUGUGUUUACCCCAACUAAUUCUAUGAAAUAAUCAAGACCUACCCCACCUCUUUUAAUGUGUCCAUCUUUUUCUUAGAGCACACUGUUGAUGACCCACUGCCUAAGAUUCUAGGAAGCUUAUAGCCACUGGCCGCUGCAACACAAAAAUAUAGAACAUGUUGUCUAUGGAUGUCAAUGCAUUAUUACUAUUUUUAUACAACAAUGAAAGUACGUUUAAGUCAUAAUUUAUGUUUUUCUUUAGAAGAGAUUUUCUUUUUGAGCUUUUAUUAAAUAGGUUGUGAACAACCAGAGACUCAGGAAAAAAAAACCAAAUGAUUAAGUAAUUCAAACCCCGCCUGCUGAGUCGAAACCGCCAAGAAACUCAACCAACCCGCUGGUUUUGAAAGUUGGUGGGUUGGCUGCGGGUUAAAAAUUUGUGAACCUUCCAAAGACAGGUUGGUCGGAAAAUGCACAUUAAACCCUCCCAACCCGACCCAUGCAUAUGCUUGUACUGUUAUAUCGACCUAGGUUCUAAUCCAAUAAUCGGUGCAUCGUUUCGAGUUUCCAAAUGCAAGUUACACCUAAAACACUACAGGGUGCCAGUGCUGUCUGCCACCACCAACAAGGCCAUUUUUGAAAUCCCCCGUGACUGUUUUCUGAACCCCCACCGUUAUUUUUCACGUAAUUCUAGUUUGCUCAGCUCCCAACCUGCAGAGAGACUUGCAAGGGCUUGCAUUACCAAAAACCUUUUUUUUUUUUUUGAUAAGUAAUCCAUUACCAAAAACUGGAUCACCAUUUUGAACUUUCUACAGGUUUCUAUGACGAAAAGAUCAGAGGUAGUUAACUUGUCCAUGCAGAUAAUCACAUAUACUAACCCAAUAACCCAUCAUCAGAAAUUCCAAUCUCGUGUUACUUACAAAUAAAGUUAAUUAAAGAUUAAGAGGAGCUUAAAAUCAAUUUGAAUAAUUCAAAUAUUUAGACUUCAAAUUAGUACUGUAACCGCCAUAGCAGUAUAAUCUCUCAUGUUCGAGCAGUGGCGACGUUUGCAGCUUUUUGUAAAAUUCCUACCGCCUACAGAAGCUGACAUAUCCAUUCCCUUGUACCGGCCAAUGUGAAGGGAUGAAGCUUGAACCUGAAUUCUGAUGGCUGCUGAUUUUGUUUGCACUUUCACCAUUGAUUGUAGCUUUAAUUAUUAUUUUUCAUUUCAUUGUUCUGUUUAGUAAUUCUAUGUGGUUGGGGUUAUAUACAGAAUUAUGGUUUGUGUUGCUGUUUCAUGUAAAUGUAGUUCCUUUUAUGCCAAAAAGAAAACUUGAAUUAACACCGUUUCGUGUGUGGUACCAUGAAGAUGAAGUGUGUUAGUGUCGUCUCAAUCUCAAGCUAAUUUGCUAAUGGAAAUUUGUCACUAACCAUGUAUAGGUACUUGCUAGGCAUGACAUCCAUUCACCGUAGAUAUAUAUUUUUAUAACAUUCCUUGGGCAUUUUGUGUCUUCUGCUGUGAUUCAGAUAUCAAAUAUUUUGAACAUUUCUCAGCCUAUUGUGUCCACCAUUAUUUGAAAAGCCUCGUGAUGGCUUCUCCGUGUGGUUGCUAAUUAGCUAACUCCCAUGAGUAUAAACAGGCACCAAAAGAACAUAUUUAACAUGAAUUGGGAGAAGAAAAGAGGAUGAAUGCACUUACAGUUGUAUUCCGUCCAUCCAAUGACUUGAUUCUCAAGAUCAUAUAAGACCAACUUAUUUGAGAGUACCAAAUCUGCAGAAUUGAAGUAAAUUCAGGCUUCAGAAUAACAAAGACAACUCAGUCUAGAAGCAAUAGCAUCAACAACCAGUUGGAUCGAGUUCAACCACAUUUACAGCCAAAACUAAAUCUAGACAUUCAGACAGAAAACAUAAAAUUAUAUAUGACAACAAAUUUUGUAAAACCACAAGAUGAGUAACAGCUAUUGAUCAUGUAAACUACUCUAAAACUAGAAAAAUAUGACCUUCAGAACCUAACACCAAAACAUUAGAUUGCGGCGUAUUAAAAGGCAUGCGCCUCACACACCUAGGCGCUGAGGCGCAGACGGCCUUGAAUACCCUAAGGCGAGGUACAGCUCUUGAAGCGCACUUGACGCGCUCACCUUGCCUAAUUUUUCCAGAUAUGUUUAAGAUUCCAUAUCAUCCAUGGAUUUAUAAAGUAUUACAGGCUCAGAUGCACUCAAUUAAAUCCUCCAAAUUAAAGAGGCUUACAUCUUUAACCCCAGCAGUUACAAAUCAUUACAGAUCCUGGAGGAAGGGGUGUUUUGAACUGGGAAAUCAGUAAGGUAUGCUCUGUUUUCUCUACAUCGAUUUUCUUCUAAUUGGUACUUCUUCUGUGAUCUUCCCUAUUUAUUCUUCUCUUUUCUUACGAUGGUUUGGUCUGUUGAAAACAAUGACAAUUUUGAUGAUGCUGGAGAAUCCAGUCCCCGGGCUAAGAAGCCUUCUGCUCGCUGAAGUAACUCCAUGUCUAUCAAGUCUAUUCAGUCCAAGCCCAAGAAACCCAUGAACAUAGGGCCUCUUAUGUGUCACUACUCUUAUGACCC